This 279-nucleotide long non-coding RNA is filed under the name Ananas comosus (pineapple). RNAcentral's name for it is "long non-coding RNA (ACOM_LNC035139)". The record is from RNAcentral. Lineage: Eukaryota; Viridiplantae; Streptophyta; Magnoliopsida; Poales; Bromeliaceae.
UUUCUUAACCCAAAACCCAAAGAUCCAAAGCCCAAAGUCUACGAAUAAAAUUCCAAAAAUCCAAAAGCCUACAAACAAAAUCAAAAAAAAUCCAAAGUCCACAAAUAAAGAUCCAAAACCCAAAGAUCCAAAACCCAAAGUCUAUGAAUAAAAUUCCAAAAAUCCAAAAAGCCCACAACCAAAAUCCCAAAAAAUCCAAAGUCCACAAAUAAAGAUCCAAAACCCAAAGAUCCAAAAUCCAAAGUCCAUAAAUAAAACCCAAUCAAAUCUACCAAACCU